Molecule: ribosomal RNA, 468 nt
Filed under: uncultured bacterium
Lineage: Bacteria
Description: partial 16S ribosomal RNA
Rfam family: Bacterial small subunit ribosomal RNA
Source: RNAcentral
GACGAACGCUGGCGGCGUGCUUAACACAUGCAAGUCGAACGGAAAGGCCCUGCUUUUGUGGGGUGCUCGAGUGGCGAACGGGUGAGUAACACGUGAGUAACCUGCCCUUGACUUUGGGAUAACUUCAGGAAACUGGGGCUAAUACCGGAUAGGAGCUCCUGCUGCAUGGUGGGGGUUGGAAAGUUUCGGCGGUUGGGGAUGGACUCGCGGCUUAUCAGCUUGUUGGUGGGGUAGUGGCUUACCAAGGCUUUGACGGGUAGCCGGCCUGAGAGGGUGACCGGCCACAUUGGGACUGAGAUACGGCCCAGACUCCUACGGGAGGCAGCAGUGGGGAAUAUUGCACAAGGGGCGGAAGCCUGAUGCAGCAACGCCGCGUGCGGGAUGACGGCCUUCGGGUUGUAAACCGCUUUCGCCUGUGACGAGGCGUGAGUGACGGUAAUGGGUAAAGAAGCACCGGCUAACUACGUG